ACAUCGAAAGCUUGCUUUUGAUGGGCGUCGACCGGCGCACGGGUGAGUAACGCGUAUCCAACCUGCCCACCACUUGGGGAUAACCUUGCGAAAGUAAGACUAAUACCCAAUGACGUCUCUAGAAGACAUCUGAAAGAGAUUAAAGAUUUAUCGGUGAUGGAUGGGGAUGCGUCUGAUUAGCUUGUUGGUGGGGUAACGGCCCACCAUGGCGACGAUCGGUAGCCGGACUGAGAGGUUGAACGGCCACAUUGGGACUGAGACACGGCCCAGACUCC
This 275-nucleotide ribosomal RNA is filed under the name uncultured bacterium. RNAcentral describes it as "partial 16S ribosomal RNA". It matches the Rfam family "Bacterial small subunit ribosomal RNA", at positions 68 to 339 of the family's 1533-position model. The record is from RNAcentral.